AUCGCUUCUUGGCCUUUUGGCUAAGAUCAAGUGUAGUAUCCACUAAGUCUAAUCAAAAUUUCUAAUUCCUCAUAACUCAC
This is a small nuclear RNA of 80 nucleotides. Its record names the gene U2. It matches the Rfam family "U2 spliceosomal RNA". From Rfam's summary of the family: U2 is a small nuclear RNA (snRNA) component of the spliceosome (involved in pre-mRNA splicing). Complementary binding between U2 snRNA (in an area lying towards the 5' end but 3' to hairpin I) and the branchpoint sequence (BPS) of the intron results the bulging out of an unpaired adenosine, on the BPS, which initiates a nucleophilic attack at the intronic 5' splice site, thus starting the first of two transesterification reactions that mediate splicing. The record is from Ensembl.